RNAcentral lists this non-coding RNA (26 nucleotides) under Mus musculus (house mouse). Lineage: Eukaryota; Metazoa; Chordata; Mammalia; Rodentia; Muridae. The record is from RNAcentral.
UGUGCAUUGAUGCCACUGAUCCGGAG